This 515-nucleotide ribosomal RNA is filed under the name uncultured bacterium. RNAcentral describes it as "partial 16S ribosomal RNA". It matches the Rfam family "Bacterial small subunit ribosomal RNA", at positions 28 to 523 of the family's 1533-position model. The record is from RNAcentral.
GACGAACGCUGGCGGCGUGCCUAAUACAUGCAAGUCGAGCGAAUGGAUUAAGAGCUUGCUCUUAUGAAGUUAGCGGCGGACGGGUGAGUAACACGUGGGUAACCUGCCCAUAAGACUGGGAUAACUCCGGGAAACCGGGGCUAAUACCGGAUAACAUUUUGAACCGCAUGGUUCGAAAUUGAAAGGCGGCUUCGGCUGUCACUUAUGGAUGGACCCGCGUCGCAUUAGCUAGUUGGUGAGGUAACGGCUCACCAAGGCAACGAUGCGUAGCCGACCUGGGAGGGUGAUCGGCCACGCUGGGACUGAGACACGGCCCAGACUCCUACGGGAGGCAGCAGUAGGGAAUCUUCCGCAAUGGACGAAAGUCUGACGGAGCAACGCCGCGUGAGUGAUGAAGGCUUUCGGGUCGUAAAACUCUGUUGUUAGGGAAGAACAAGUGCUAGUUGGAUAAGCUGGCACCUUGACGGUACCUAACCAGAAAGCCACGGCUAACUACGUGCCAGCCGCCGCAGUAA